GAUGAAGAACGUAGCGAAAUGCGAUAAGUAAUGUGAAUUGCAGAAUUCAGUGAAUCAUCGAAUCUUUGAACGCACCUUGCACCCUUUGGACUGCUCCAAAGGGUAUGCUCGUUUGAGUGUCAUUGUACUCUCACACUCUCUGAUCCUUUGGAUUUGGGGAGCGGUGGACUUGGGUGCUUGCUGCUUCCUUGUGGCUCACCUGAAAUGCAUCAGUGCAUCUCUCGAUUGGACAUAGCACGGCGUGAUAAGUGUCUUCGCCGGCACCUCAUAUGAGGGUGGCCGAUCGGGAGCUCUGUGCUUUCAAACCGUCUUCGGACAACGCUGACAACUUGACCUCAAAUCGAGUAGGACUACCCGCUGAACUUAAGCAUAUCGAUAAGCGGAGGA
Molecule: unclassified non-coding RNA, 387 nt
Filed under: soil metagenome
Description: partial contains 5.8S ribosomal RNA, internal transcribed spacer 2, and large subunit ribosomal RNA
Rfam family: 5.8S ribosomal RNA (bases 1-122)
Source: RNAcentral